AGUGAACGCUGGCGGUAGGCCUAACACAUGCAAGUCGAACGGCAGCACAGUAAGAGCUUGCUCUUACGGGUGGCGAGUGGCGGACGGGUGAGGAAUACAUCGGAAUCUACUUUUUCGUGGGGGAUAACGUAGGGAAACUUACGCUAAUACCGCAUACGACCUACGGGUGAAAGCAGGGGAUCUUCGGACCUUGCGCGAUUCAAUGAGCCGAUGUCGGAUUAGCUAGUUGGCGGGGUAAAGGCCCACCAAGGCGACGAUCCGUAGCUGGUCUGAGAGGAUGAGCAGCCACACUGGAACUGAGACAAGGUCCAGACUCCUACGGGAGGCAGCAGUGGGGAAUAUUGGACAAUGGGCGCAAGCCUGAUCCAGCCAUACCGCGUGUGUGAAGAAGGCCUUCGGGUUGUAAAGCCCUUUUGUUGGGAAAGAAAAGCAGCAGGUUAAUACCCCGCUGUUCUGACGGUACCCAAAGAAUAAGCACCGGCUAACUUCGUG
Molecule: ribosomal RNA, 492 nt
Filed under: uncultured bacterium
Lineage: Bacteria
Description: partial 16S ribosomal RNA
Rfam family: Bacterial small subunit ribosomal RNA
Source: RNAcentral